This 523-nucleotide long non-coding RNA is filed under the name Monodelphis domestica (gray short-tailed opossum). RNAcentral describes it as "lncRNA (ENSMODG00000047818.1)". Lineage: Eukaryota; Metazoa; Chordata; Mammalia; Didelphimorphia; Didelphidae. The record is from RNAcentral.
AGGACAGUUUUUCAUUCCCUUCUUAGAAAAGAAAUGUUUAAAAUACUAGUUACUCAUGCCUUGUUUGACAACAACUUAAAAAUGAACCAGUAUCCUAUAUUCUCCUAUUAUGUUCUCCAGACAACUGACACUAAAAACACAAAACAGCAGGAUUCGCAUUUCACCUUUGUACUGCACACCUCAAAGUCCAAGUCUUCUGUUAUUGAUACACUUAUCUGCAAAAAAAGAAAGAAGUUGCAAAUCUGACUUCAGACACUUCCUAGCUGUGUGAUCCUGGACAAGUCAUUUAACCCUGGUUGGAAGCAAGGAAGAAAGGAAGGAAAGAAGGAGGAAGGGAAGGAAAAAAGGGAGGAAAGGUGAAAGAAAAGAAAGGAAGAAGGAAAGAAAGAAGGAUGGAAGAAAGAAGGAAAGAAGGCAAGUAGAAAAGAAAGAAAAAAAAGAAGUUACAUUAUUUAACUUCUAUUUCCAUUGUCAUUUUAUAGCAAAACAUUACAAAUUGCCAAAUAAAAUAGAUAUUUAUUUG